AUGGAGAUGAAACCCAAAAGAUUUUCGUUGGGGCGUAACCCUCUCAGCGACGCGCCACAUCGGAACCCGGGUGUGGUGGAAAAUGGACAAGGGCCGGGCCGUCACCCCCCAAGUGGCGCGCCGUAUCUUGAUCCGGAUACGGUGGCAAGUGAGCGAGGAUCGGGUCGUCGCAUCCUUAGUGGCGCGCUACAUCGGCGCCCGGAUGUAGUGGAAAAUGAGCAAGGGUCUUCGCAUUUGACUCGACGAGUGCGAAGGGUAAGGAAGCUAGCCGAGCCUAGGAGGAUUCGCUUAGGUAGCUGGAACGUAGGGUCUCUGACAGGGAAGCUUCGGGAGCUAGUUGAUGCAGCAGUGAGGAGAGGUGUUGAUAUCCUUUGCGUCCAAGAAACCAAAUGGAGAGGACAGAAGGCGAAGGAGGUGGAGGAUACCGGCUUCAAGCUGUGGUACACGGGGACGGCUGCAAACAGAAAUGGCGUAGGCAUCUUGAUCAACAAGAGCCUCAAGUAUGGAGUGGUAGACGUCCGGAGACGUGGGGACCGGAUUAUCCUGGUCAAGCUGGUAGCUGAGGACUUGGUUCUCAAUGUUAUCAGCGCAUAUGCCCCGCAAGUAGGCCACAAUGAGAACACCAAGAGGGAGUUCUGGGAAGGCUUGGAAGACAUGGUUAAGCUGGUAGACGUCAGGAGACGUGGGGACCGGAUUAUCCUGGUCAAGCUGGUAGCUGAGGACUUGGUUCUCAAUGUUAUCAGCGCAUAUGCCCCGCAAGUAGGCCACAAUGAGAACACCAAGAGGGAGUUCUGGGAAGGCUUGGAAGACAUGGUUAGGAGUGUACCGAUUGGUGAGAAGCUCUUCAUAGGAGGAGACCUCAAUGGCUACGUGGGUACAUCUAACACAGGUUGUGAAGGGGCGCAUGGGGGCUUUGGCUAUGGCAUCAGGAAUCAAGAAGGAGAAGAUGUCUUAAGCUUUGCUCUAGCCUACAACAUGAUUGUAGCUAACACCCUCUUUAGAAAGAGAGAAUCACAUCUGGUGACUUUUAGUAGUGGCCAACACUCUAGCCAGAUUGAUUUCAUCCUCUCGAGAAGAGAAGAUAGGCGUGCGUGCCUAGACUGUAAGGUGAUACCUGGGGAGAGUGUUGUACCCCAGCAUAAGCUGGUGGUUGCUGACUUCCGCUUUCGGAUUCAUGUCCAGCGGGAUAAGCGUGCCAAGGUCGCUAGAACGAAGUGGUGGAAGCUCAAGGGGGAGGUAGCUCAGGUGUUCAAGGAGAGGGUAUUUAAGGAGGGCCCUUGGGAGGAAGGAGGGGAUGCGGACAAUGUGUGGAUGAAGAUGGCGACUUGCAUUCGUAAGGUGGCCUCGGAGGAGUUUGGAGUGUCCAGGGGAAGGAGAAGCGAAGAUAAGGAUACCUGGUGGUGGAAUGAUGAUGUCCAGAAGGCGCUUAAAGAGAAGAAAGAUUGCUUCAGACGCCUAUACCUGGAUAGGAGUGCAGACAACAUAGAGAAGUACAAGAUGGCGAAGAAGGCCGCAAAGCGAGCUGUUGGUGAAGCAAGGGGUCGGGCAUAUGAGGACCUCUACCAACGGUUAGGCACGAAGGAAGGUGAAAGGGACAUCUAUAAGAUGGCUAAGAUCCGGGAGAGGAAGACGAGGGAUAUUGGCCAAGUCAAAUGCAUCAAGGACGGAGCAGGCCAACUCUUGGUGAAGGACGAGGAGAUUAAGCAUAGAUGGCGGGAGUACUUCGACAAGCUGUUCAAUGGGGAGAAUGAGAGUUCUACCAUUGAACUGAAUGACUCCUUUGAUGAGACCAGC
This 1794-nucleotide ribosomal RNA is filed under the name Triticum aestivum (bread wheat). RNAcentral's name for it is "partial small subunit ribosomal RNA". The record is from RNAcentral. Lineage: Eukaryota; Viridiplantae; Streptophyta; Magnoliopsida; Poales; Poaceae.